GGGAUUAACGAGGACGGAACGGGCUGCUGUCGCCCUCCGACAAAGCCCAUGCGCAGGGUUCGGAGUUAGGAGAUGUGGGAAUGGUCGCCCCACCUAAUCCC
Molecule: non-coding RNA, 101 nt
Submitted as: unclassified sequences
Source: Rfam